GACGAACGCUGGCGGCGUGCUUAACACAUGCAAGUCGAGCGGUAAGGCCCUUUCGGGGGUACACGAGCGGCGAACGGGUGAGUAACACGUGGGUGACCCUGCCCUCAGCUCUGGGAUAAGCCCGGGAAACUGGGUCUAAUACUGGAUAUGACUCCAUGACGCAUGUUGUGGGGUGGAAAGCCUUGUGCGGCUGAGGAUGGGCCCGCGGCCUAUCAGCCUGUUGGUGGGGGAUGGCCUACCAAGGCGACGACGGGUAGCCGGCCUGAGAGGGCGACCGGCCACACUGGGACUGAGACACGGCCCAGACUCCUACGGGAGGCAGCAGUGGGGAUUCUUGCGCAAUGGGCGAAAGCCUGACGCAGCGACGCCGCGUGAGGGAUGACGGCCU
This 388-nucleotide ribosomal RNA is filed under the name uncultured bacterium. Its description in RNAcentral is "bacterial SSU rRNA". It matches the Rfam family "Bacterial small subunit ribosomal RNA", at positions 28 to 417 of the family's 1533-position model. The record is from RNAcentral.